This is an RNA transcript of Hemicordylus capensis (graceful crag lizard), 7325 nucleotides long. It is a transcript of the gene named DAB2 interacting protein, with no coding region annotated. The record is from RefSeq and is a predicted model, not a curated record. The transcript has 18 exons. NCBI's taxonomy places the organism in Eukaryota, Metazoa, Chordata, Lepidosauria, Squamata, Cordylidae.
CCGAGGAGCCGCCGGGCCCGGAGCAUGCCGCUGAGCAGCCGGAGGAGCGGCGCGCGGCCGCCUUCCUACGCCCGGCUGCUGCUGCUGCGGAGGUCGCGGCUGCAGAGGCAGCGGAGCCGCUCGCGCUCCCGGAGCCGGCCGCUCAGCAGCAGCAGGGAGUCCCCGCCAGAGAGGACCGGGCAGAGACGGGCAAUGCCUGGUGGAGGCCUGGAGAAGACGCCCAGCAUGGAACCAGCUGCCACGACACCCUUCCGUGUCACGGGCUUCCUGAGCCGCCGGCUGAAGGGCUCCAUCAAGCGCACCAAGAGCCAGCCCAAGCUCGACCGCACCAGCAGCUUCCGCCACAUCCUGCCGGCCUUCAGGAGCGCCGCCGAGGACCAUGAGAGAUCACAUCUGAUGCCGAGGCUGAAAGAAUCACGCUCCCACGAGUCGUUGCUGAGUCCCAGUAGUGUGGUGGAGGCCCUGGACCUCAGCAUGGAGGAGGAGGUGGUGAUCAAGCCGGUGCACAGCAGCAUCCUUGGGCAGGAUUACUGCUUCGAGGUGACAACUUCAUCUGGCAGCAAAUGCUUCUCGUGCCGAUCGGCGGCUGAGCGGGACAAGUGGAUGGAAAACCUGCGGCGGGCCGUGCAUCCCAACAAGGUUGUGCAGGUUUUUCCCCCAAACUCCUGCCCAACCUAUUUGAGCAGAGGCGAAAAUGGGAUAAAAGGAACAGCCCAAAGAAGCAAGCCAAUCUCUGUGAAAAAUCAUUGUGACAACAGCAGGCGUGUCGAGAACAUGCUGAAGCUGUGGAUCAUCGAAGCCAAAGACCUGCCGGCCAAGAAGAAGUACCUGUGCGAACUCUGCCUGGACGAGGUCCUCUACGCCCGGACGACGUGCAAGUUGAAAACGGACAAUGUCUUCUGGGGGGAGCACUUUGAGUUCAACAACCUGCCCACCCUCCGCAGCAUCACCGUCCACCUGUACAAGGAGACGGACAAGAAGAAGAAGAAGGACAAGAGCAACUUCAUGGGGCUGGUCAGCAUCCCGGUGGGCUCGGUCACCAGCCGGCAGUUCGUGGAGAAGUGGUACCCGGUGGCCACGCCCAACCCCAGCAAGGGGAAGUCGGCCGGGCCCAUGGUCCGCAUCAAGGCGCGCUACCAAACCAUGAGUAUCCUGCCCAUGGAGAUGUACAAGGAGUUCGCGGAGUACAUCACCAACAACUACCUGGUCCUCUGCUCGGUGCUGGAGCCGGCGCUGAGCGUCAAGAACAAGGAGGAGAUGGCUUCGGCCCUGGUCCACAUCUUGCAAAGCACCGGCAAGGCCAAGGAUUUCUUGACUGACCUCAUGAUGUCCGAGGUGGACCGCUGCGGCGAUAACGAGCACCUUAUUUUCCGAGAGAACACGCUUGCCACAAAAGCCAUUGAGGAGUACCUGAAGCUGAUGGGCCAGAAGUACCUGCAGGACGCCCUCGGGGAGUUUAUCAAGGCUCUGUACGAGUCGGACGAGAACUGCGAAGUGGACCCCAGCAAGUGCUCGUCCUCGGAUCUCCCCGAACAUCAGAGCAACCUCAAGAUGUGCUGCGAACUGGCCUUCUGCAAAAUCAUCAACUCCUACUGCGUGUUCCCGAGGGAGCUGAAGGAGGUCUUUGCCUCGUGGCGGCAGGAAUGCAGCAGCCGCGGCCGGCCGGACAUCAGCGAGAGACUCAUCAGCGCCUCCCUGUUCCUGCGCUUCCUCUGCCCGGCCAUCAUGUCCCCCUCCCUCUUCAACCUGCUGCAGGAAUAUCCCGACGACCGGACCGCCCGCACCCUGACGCUGAUUGCCAAGGUCACGCAGAACCUGGCCAACUUUGCAAAGUUCGGCAGCAAGGAGGAGUACAUGUCCUUCAUGAACCAGUUCCUGGAGCACGAGUGGACCAACAUGCAGCGCUUCCUGCUGGAGAUCUCCAACCCGGAGACGCUCUCCAACACGGCCGGCUUCGAAGGCUACAUCGACCUGGGCCGGGAGCUCUCCUCCUUGCACUCGCUGCUCUGGGAGGUGGUGGCCCAGCUCGAGCAGAGCACAGCGACGAAGCUCGGGCCGCUGCCGCGCGUCCUGAGGGACGUCAACACGGCUCUCAGCAACCCGUCCUGUGUGCAGGUCUCGGUCACGGCGGACCACGCUGCCUCGACGCCCAACGCCAGCAACAGCAUCUCGGUGGGCCUGCAGAAGAUGGUCAUUGAGAACGAGCUGUCCGGUCUGAUAGAUUUCACACGGUUACCGUCUCCAACCCCUGAAAACAAGGACUUGUUUUUUGUCACAAGGUCUGUGGGGGCUCAGCCCUCGCCUGCCCGGAGCUCCAGCUACUCGGAGGCCAAUGAGCCCGACGUCCAGAUGGCCAACGGCAGCAAAAGCCUCUCCAUGGUGGACUUGCAGGACAAUCGCGCUCUGGACGGCGGGGGCGCCCUCCUGGGGCCGGCCGAGGCCCUCCCCGACGGCCAGCCCCCCUUGGGGCCGCUCCCGGGCGGCUGGAGCGCGCGGACUCAGGCGAACAGCGUGGCCGCCAUGGCCACCGUGCGCCGCGUGGGCCAGACCCCCACCACGCCCGGCACGGAGGGCGCCCCCGGCAGGCCCCAGCUGCUGGCCCCGCUCUCCUUCCAGAACCCGGUCUACCAGAUGGCGGCCGGGCUGCCCCUCUCGCCCCGGGGGCUGGCCGACUCGGGCUCCGAGUGCCACAGCUCGCUCAGCUCCCACAGCAACAGCGAGGACUUGGCCGCGGCGGCCAGCAAGCAGCACGCCUUCGGCAACCCCGCCUUGGCCACCGAGGACUUCGCCCGGCGGGCGGGGGAGCUGGCCCGGAGGCAGCUCUCCCUCACGGACAAGGCCGGCCAGCCCACCAUGCCCCGGCAGAACAGCGGGGGGCCCCAGAGGCGGAUAGACCAGCCGCCCCCGCCCCCGCCGCCCCCUCCCCCCAUCACGCGGGGCCGGACGCCCCCCUCCUUCCUGAACACCAUGCAGUACCCUCGCCCCUCCAGCGGGGGCAUGCUCUCGUCUUCGCCCGAUUGGCCGGGCAGCGGGGCCCGGCUCCGGCAGCAGUCCUCCUCCUCCAAGGGAGACAGCCCGGAGAUGAAGCAGCGCACGAUGCACAAGCAGGCCCUUUCACCUGUGAACCCCAAUGCCCUGGACCGCACGGCCGCUUGGCUGUUGAAUAUGAACAUACAGUUUGUAGAAGAAGAGAGCGUUGAGCCCGAACCCCAGCACAGGGAUAAGAGCCGGAUAAAAGAGGAGUACAGCCAAGGGGACAAGCAGUACCAGCAGGACGUGGUGGUGCUUCAGGACAAGCUGCGUCUCUCCAACAAGAAGCUGGAGGAGUACGAGGCCCGCUUCAAGGGCCAGGAGGAGGCCACCCAGAAGCUGGUGCUGGAGUACCAGGCCCGGCUGGAGGAGAGCGAGGAGCGGCUGCGCCGGCAGCAGGAGGACAAGGAGAUCCAGAUGAAGGGCAUCAUCAGCAGGCUGAUGUCAGUGGAGGAGGAGCUGAAAAAGGACCAUGUGGAAAUGCAGGCGGCUGUAGACUCCAAGCAGAAGAUCAUAGAUGCCCAGGAGAAACGCAUUGCCUCCCUGGACGCAGCCAAUGCCCGGCUCAUGAGCGCCCUCACCCAGCUGAAAGAGAGGUACAGCACGCAGACACGUAACGGCAUCUCCCCCACAAACCCAACUAAAUUGCAGAUUACCGAGAACGGCGAAUUCCGAAACAGCAGCAAUUGUUAACCUGCGGGGAGAGCUGCUGCAGGAAAGAGAGAGAGAGAGAGCAUGCGCAGCAGCGGCAAGCAGCGGCAGCAGCAGCAGGAGGGUAUGCAUUAGGAAAAAAAACACACACAUAUGUCUCAAAAGCCAAAGCAGCCCUCUCUCUGGAGCACUGUCCUCUUGUAAGUGGGAGUGGGUGCCGCGUGGAAGGCUAACCGCUCCGAAGGCCUCCAAGGGGAGAGACCAGCAAGGACAGCAACUUCCGAGGAAGUGUCUCCCUUGUCAGACUCGCUGGGCCGCCGUAAGCCAUGGUUAGUCACUCCCAACUAACCCCUUAGUGGAGCUGGCGCUUUCCCAUCAGGUACUAACCUCCAGCUGGCUUGUGGGUUGAGAUGCUUGGUUUUUAAGUCCGCCCGGAUGACACCUCCCGCUCGGCCCCUUAAAGAGAGCAUAGCCACUCUUGGGUGCUUCUGAGCCAGGACAGCCUUGCGUUUUGGGCGGCCCCCAAAGGUGCCUGGUGCCUAGCGUGGGCCAGCAGCAGCAGGAGGAAUCUCCCCCCCCCCGAGGAGAUGUGGCUUCCUAAACUUCUUAAAGCAAAAAAAAACCCGAAGCCUCCCACCGCACGCCACCAUCCUCUCCCCUGCAACUUGAAUGUUCCGUAACUCGCAGACAAUCACGUUAUCUCGCUGCACCCAAACCUCUCCAAAGUGCAAAGGAACCAAUGAUUUUAAGUCCAAUGUGAAUGUGUGGACACUUAAACUGUGUUUCCCUUCCUCGCGCUCCACCCACUUGCCCGUAGCGGGGAGGCUCAAAAACCAUGCCAAGGAAGACUCUCUCAAUGGAGAGAUAGCCGGGCACUGAGUUUAUGCCCCCGACUGACGACCGGCUCCUCUAGGGAUCUGCAGAGUACGUCACCAAGGGAUUCAGGACAGAGUGGCACGUGGGGUCCAGCCACAGCAGGCUACCUUCUGCAAGGACCGCCCGUCCCAAAGACUUUGCAAGGAUUCUCUAUCAAAGUGGCAAUUUUUUAACUUUUAGAGGUGUGGGAUGUGGACCCUCUAAAAGCUGGUGAACGAGGCCAGGGAGAGAUCCUGGGAGAAGCGUCGUGGAGGCCUACGUUUGGGAUGGGUGGGGAUGCUGUCCUGGGGACCCAGAUCCCAAUCCUCCAAUCCUCCACUUGCACACGGAAAAAGUCACGCACCUAGCAGCCCACAGUACCGCAAUGCAGUGAUGAUCAUGCACGGCUCCUCUUCUGGGCUCUCCUUUCUUGGCUGCAACCUGAGGUGGCCACGUGGGUUGUGGGGGGCAGGUUGCCACGUUCACAUUAGCAGCUCAAACCUUCCAGGGACAGCUAAGCCGCGUGGCCCUUCAGAGGUGUCACAACUGCCGGUUUACAGGUGUUCCUCUUAGCCCGAAGGCCUAGGAAGGAAGGCAGGCCUGCCCUCCUCCACAAUCGGCUCCAAGUUCCGUCCGUUGACUUCAGGCUCAAUGUGCCUGGAGAAUCCUUUCCCAAGGCCUGUGUCGGUCUCCUCCUCGGUGCCUCAGUUCCUUCUAGAGCUGCCUGCAGGGGUGUGGGGCGGAGUGCAGCCGCCCAACCAGCCUUCAGUUUCUGCCCUCCAAGUGGGCCGCACCGAGAGACACGGCCCCAUAGCCACGGUCGGCCCCCUGGCUCAACCUGGUCUUUGCUCCGGUCUUGUGCUUUCUGCUGUUAAGAACUUGUUAUCAAAACCCUGUAAUUUAAAACAAACAGACAAAAAUACACAGAUCUUUUCUGAAUCUGAGUUGUACAGGUUCUCUUUUGUAAACAAAAACAUGUUUUCCAGUGUGUGAUUGUACAACUGGGCCGGGUCCGCCAAGCAAUUGUACAAAGCGGUUUCCGUGGUGGUGGUGGUGGUGGUGCCCCUGCUGCUUGAGGCUGGGGGGUCUCAGCUUCCUGUUACUGCUGCAUGAAGUGGACGAGGGCUCAGGUCUGCUUAGACGCAAAGUCAGGGCUGGGGGGCACUCCAGUGGGGCCUGUCUGGGACGGGAAAGCCCAGUUUCUGCUUUAGCCGUCAGCCAGCUUGGGAUGGACGCGGAGAGGAGUUUGGGAAGCCCUUGGCCCAGCUCAGUCGCUCGACCUCGGAACGGCAACUGCUGGAGUUGGAGUGCAGCCCAGGGAGGGGUGAAAAGGUGCCCAGCAAGGAAGGGAGCUGUGGCGGAGGCUGCUGGGCCCUGCUGAAGACCGUCCGAGGCGGGGAGGCAACUCCCCUGAGCUGGCCCGCAGAAAAACGAGUGGGGAGACCGUGCUUUGCCCUCCGUGGGAAUGGCAUGCGGGUUCCGAGGUUGGCGUGCAGAUUCUGAAAGGACUGGCCGCACCAUGGGGGCCUCUCAGCAGCAGGCCGGGACUGGCGUCGUCGGGUCAUUUCUGCCGUCUGGAGGAGCGAGCCCCAAACCGGGCAACAAGCGCCAAGCCCGCGGGGGCUCUGACCAGUUAGGGGGUCUCAGCCUGCUCACGGUGGAGGGACGGAGGUGCUCUGGGGUGUCCAUCCCUGCUUCUAGGUGUGCCCACAGUCAUUUCAACAGAGGGGCAAGCCCCCCAACUGCCCCCUCCACUGGAAGGGCCGGGAAACCCACAGGUGGUGCCUUGGCGGGGGGGGGGCAGGGUGUAUUUUUGAUGAAGUCCAGGGCUCUGGGUCCAUUUCGGUUGAGACCACGGGCAAGGGAAGCACACGGAAAGGACCUCCUUGGCAGCCACACUCCGGUGGCACAGCGGCUUUCAUCCACCAUUGGCCAAGAUCGUUGGAGGACAGACCCUCUUGCAGCAAACUUUGCCGUGUCUGCUUGCCGGGAGCCACUAAUCUAGCCCCAGGGAAAGAGCAGUCCCCAGACACGUCUCUCCCUGACAAUGCCUCCUCGACCCGUGGCUACGGCCCUUUAGCCACUUGGAAGGACUUCUAGCCACAUGUGCUCCAGGACUGGUCGCUGCACAGGUGGUCCCAGCACAGAGCGCUUCCUCGUGGAGCCGGAGGACAAACGGGUCCGGCCUCUCGGGAGGGAAGCAGGAUCUAAGCAGAACCCAGACCAAGCAAGAUGGACGCGCAGCAGCGGGCUGGCUUUGGAAAGGGCCACCAAAACAGACUCUCCCGGGCCCACGUGGGCUGCAAACGUGCCACGCUGUGGCCUCCCGUAUCGGUACAAGAUUCUGUGCUCACCUGUUUUGUGUUUCCUCAUCUGCAUCACUGUGUCUUAAGAGAUACCUCUCUCUCGCUCUCGCUCUCUCACACACAACCUGUACGUCCGCUUCGGCCAAUGCUGGGUCCUGGAAGAGCAGAGACAAAAUGGUUUUUUUACCCUCUUAUAAAGGAAACAAAGCAAAAAAAUAAUAAUAAAACCCUUUUUGUAAGUUUGUUUAAAUAUAUAUAUAUAUAUAUAUAUACACACACACACACAUUAUAUAUGUAUAUAUAUGAAGCCAAGAGGCAGGCGUUUGCCAAAUCUUCUUCAGUCUCUUUUGAAAAAUAAAAAAAAAACUUGUAAUAAUGUACAGAGAAAGUCGUUGGUGUCGAGGGGGGGGGAAUUGAUGUGGACGUACAAUUUAUGUACAUUUGCAAUUAGAAAAUUAUUAAAGAUUUAUUUAGCUAUUUUAA